RNAcentral lists this ribosomal RNA (254 nucleotides) under uncultured bacterium. RNAcentral describes it as "partial 16S ribosomal RNA". It matches the Rfam family "Bacterial small subunit ribosomal RNA", at positions 524 to 776 of the family's 1533-position model. The record is from RNAcentral.
UACGGGGGGAGCAAGCGUUGUUCGGAUUUACUGGGCGUAAAGGGCGCGUAGGCGGCCAGCACAAGUCAGUUGUGAAAUCUCCGAGCUUAACUCGGAAAGGUCAACUGAUACUGUGCGGCUAGAGUGCAGAAGGGGCAACUGGAAUUCUCGGUGUAGCGGUGAAAUGCGUAGAUAUCGAGAGGAACACCUGCGGCGAAGGCGGGUUGCUGGGCUGACACUGACGCUGAGGCGCGACAGCGUGGGGAGCGAACGGG